UGAACUUAAGCAUAUUAAUCAGCGGAGGAAAAGAAACUAACCAGGAUUCCCUCAGUAACUGCGAGUGAAGCGGGACCGGCUCAAUGUGUGAAUCUGGCUUGGGGUAGAUCCCUGGUCCGAGUUGUGCACUAUGGACGUUUCGUCUGCGUUUGUAAUGGCGGUGGAAGUCCGUUGAAACACGGCACCUCAGAGGGUCACAGUCCUGUACCACCUGCCUGCACUCGCGCCAAUGACAAGCGCUCCUCGAGUCGCGUAGUUUUGUAAUGCUGCGCCAAGUGGGAGGUAGAGACCUUCUAAGGCUAAAUAUGAUGACGUGACCGAUAGCACACAAGUACCGCGAGGGAAAGGUGAAAAGCAACCAUGAAAAAUGGGUUGAAACAGCAGUGAAAGCGCUACCGGGAUAAGGGCUAUCGGGUGCUGGGGCUUCUUGGGUGUGCUUCAGUGCUACCCUUGGAGACGGCCCGCGUGGGUUGAUGUUGGGGYGAUAGACGCGUCGUUGGAAUUCAGCUGUCUUUGGGCAGUGUUGUAGCCUUCGGUUGCCGAUCCUCCUGCGACCUUUUGUAAUUGCGGGUCUUGCGACCGUUAGCCGCCCGUCUUGAAACACGGACCAAGGAGUGCACCUUGCAUGCGAGUCGAAGGGAUUUGAAACCUGGAGGCGUAGCGAACGCGACGAUGGGGAAUGUCCUUGUGGCAGACACCCGCACCCGCCUUGUGCGAGGUAGAGCAUGUACGGUGCGACCCGAAAGAUGGUGAACUAUGCCCGGGUAAGGUGAAGCCAGUGGAAACGCUGGUGGAGGCCUGUAGCGAUUCUGACGUGCAAAUCGAUCGCGUAACCUGGGUAUAGGGGCGAAAGACCUAUCGAACCGUCUAAUGGCUGGUUCCCUCCGAAGUUUCCCUCAGGA
This 902-nucleotide ribosomal RNA is filed under the name uncultured Tulasnella mycobiont of Aneura pinguis. Its description in RNAcentral is "eukaryotic LSU rRNA". It matches the Rfam family "Eukaryotic large subunit ribosomal RNA", at positions 29 to 978 of the family's 3401-position model. The record is from RNAcentral. Lineage: Eukaryota; Fungi; Basidiomycota; Agaricomycetes; Cantharellales; Tulasnellaceae.